GAUGAACGCUGGCAGCGUGCCUAAUACAUGCAAGUCGUGCGAACAGACGAGGAGCUUGCUCCUCUGACGUUAGCGGCGGACGGGUGAGUAACACGUGGAUAACCUACCUAUAAGACUGGGAUAACUUCGGGAAACCGGAGCUAAUACCGGAUAAUAUAUUGAACCGCAUGGUUCAAUAGUGAAAGACGGUUUUGCUGUCACUUAUAGAUGGAUCCGCGCCGCAUUAGCUAGUUGGUAAGGUAACGGCUUACCAAGGCGACGAUGCGUAGCCGACCUGAGAGGGUGAUCGGCCACACUGGAACUGAGACACGGUCCAGACUCCUACGGGAGGCAGCAGUAGGGAAUCUUCCGCAAUGGGCGAAAGCCUGACGGAGCAACGCCGCGUGAGUGAUGAAGGUCUUCGGAUCGUAAAACUCUGUUAUUAGGGAAGAACAAAUGUGUAAGUAACUAUGCACGUCUUGACGGUACCUAAUCAGAAAGCCACGGCUAACUACGUG
Molecule: ribosomal RNA, 497 nt
Filed under: uncultured bacterium
Lineage: Bacteria
Description: partial 16S ribosomal RNA
Rfam family: Bacterial small subunit ribosomal RNA
Source: RNAcentral